RNAcentral lists this ribosomal RNA (505 nucleotides) under uncultured bacterium. RNAcentral's name for it is "partial 16S ribosomal RNA". It matches the Rfam family "Bacterial small subunit ribosomal RNA", at positions 28 to 507 of the family's 1533-position model. The record is from RNAcentral.
GACGAACGCUGGCGGCGUGCCUAAUACAUGCAAGUAGAACGCACAGUUUAUACCGUAGCUUGCUACACCAUAGACUGUGAGUUGCGAACGGGUGAGUAACGCGUAGGUAACCUGCCUGGUAGCGGGGGAUAACUAUUGGAAACGAUAGCUAAUACCGCAUAAUAUUAAUUAUUGCAUGAUAAUUAAUUGAAAGGUGCAAUUGCACCACUACCAGAUGGACCUGCGUUGUAUUAGCUAGUAGGUGAGGUAACGGCUCACCUAGGCGACGAUACAUAGCCGACAGGAGAGGGUGAGCGGCCACACUGGGACUGAGACACGGCCCAGACUCCUACGGGAGGCAGCAGUAGGGAAUCUUCGGCAAUGGACGAAAGUCUGACCGAGCAACGCCGCGUGAGGGAAGAAGGUUUUCGGAUCGUAAAGCUCUGUUGUAAGAGAAGAACGGGUGUGAGAGUGGAAAGUUCACACUGUGACGGUAUCUUACCAGAAAGGGACGGCUAACUACGUG